UUUAAUCCAAUAUUUACUUUCAAAAAGUUGGGUUGAAAUUAUCUCAUGAAGCCAAAAUGUGCAACUUGAAAAGUGAUGUCUUUUUAAAGAGUCACUUAUGCCGCUCAGUGAUAAAGGAGGUAGGGGUGCAGAGUCAGCCAAGAGGUUUGCCUAGAAGCAGCCACCCUUGAAAGAGUGCGUAAUAGCUCACUGAUCGAGCGCUCUUGCGCCGAAGAUGAAUAGGGCUAAGCGAUCUGCUGAAGCUGUAGAAUGUAAAAAUGCAUCGGUAGGGGAACGUUCCGCCUUAGAGGGAAGCACCCGCGUGAGCGGGAGUAGAUGAAGCGAAAGCG
Molecule: non-coding RNA, 329 nt
Organism: Gossypium hirsutum (cotton)
Lineage: Eukaryota; Viridiplantae; Streptophyta; Magnoliopsida; Malvales; Malvaceae
Source: Rfam